This 429-nucleotide ribosomal RNA is filed under the name uncultured archaeon. RNAcentral describes it as "bacterial SSU rRNA". It matches the Rfam family "Archaeal small subunit ribosomal RNA", at positions 474 to 903 of the family's 1478-position model. The record is from RNAcentral.
UACCAGCUCUCCGAGUGGUAGGGAUGAUUAUUGGGCUUAAAGCGUCCGUAGCCGGCUUAGCAAGUCUCCUGUUAAAUUCAGCGACCUAAUCGUUGAGCCGCGGGAGAUACUACUAGGCUAGGAGGCGGGAGAGGUCAACGGUACUUCCGGGGUAGGGGUGAAAUUCUAUAAUCCCGGGAGGACCACCAGUGGCGAAAGCUGUUGACUAGAACGCGCUCGACGGUGAGGGACGAAAGCUGGGGGAGCGAACCGGAUUAGAUACCCGGGCAGUCCCAGCUGUAAACGAUGCGAGCUAGGUGUUGGGGUGGCUACGUGCCACUUCAGUGCCGCAGGGAAGCCAUUAAGCUCGCCGCCUGGGGAGUACGGCCGCAAGGCUGAAACUUAAAGGAAUUGGCGGGGGAGCACCACAAGGCGUGAAGCUUGCGGUUC